RNAcentral lists this ribosomal RNA (405 nucleotides) under uncultured bacterium. Its description in RNAcentral is "partial 16S ribosomal RNA". It matches the Rfam family "Bacterial small subunit ribosomal RNA", at positions 28 to 526 of the family's 1533-position model. The record is from RNAcentral.
GAUGAACGCUGGCUGCGUGCCUAAUACAUGCAAGUCGAGCGAAGCGGCGACGGGUGAGUAACACGUGGAUAACCUCCUAUCCGUCUCGGAUAACUUCGGGACCCCGUAGCUAAACCGGAUACUUAUAGAUGGAUCCGCGCUGCAUUAGCUAGGUGGUUAGGUAACGGAUGACAAAAGCAACGAUGCAUAGCCGACCUGCGAGGAUGAGCAGGCACACUGGAACUGAAACGCGCUCCAGACUCCUACGGGAGGCGGCAGUAGAGGGACGACCGCAAUGAGCGGAAGCCUAGCCGGGAAACGCCGCGUAAGUGAUGAAGGGCAUGGGAUCGGAAAACUCAGUUAUUAGGGAAGCGGUACCAAAUCAGAAAGCCACGGCUAACUCCGUGCCAGCAGCCGCGGUAAUAC